UACGGAGGGUGCGAGCGUUGUUCGGAAUUACUGGGCGUAAAGCGCGUGUAGGUGGUCUGUCAUGUCAGGUGUGAAAGCCCUCGGCCUAACCGAGGAAGUGCGCCUGAAACUGCCAGACUUGAGUACGAGAGAGGAGGACGGAAUUCCCAGUGUAGAGGUGAAAUUCGUAGAUAUUGGGAGGAACACCGGUGGCGAAAGCGGUUCUCUGGAUCGAUACUGACACUAAGACGCGAAAGCGUGGGGAGCAAACAGGAUUAGAUCCCCUGGUAGUCCACGCCGUAAACGAUGGAUAUUAGUUGUUGCGAGUUUAACCCUCGCAGUGACGACGCUAACGCAUUAAAUAUCCCGCCUGGGAAGUACGGCCGCAAGGUUAAA
This 375-nucleotide ribosomal RNA is filed under the name uncultured bacterium. Its description in RNAcentral is "bacterial SSU rRNA". It matches the Rfam family "Bacterial small subunit ribosomal RNA", at positions 524 to 898 of the family's 1533-position model. The record is from RNAcentral.